UGUGCCAGCCGCCGCGGUAAUACGAAGGGGGCCAGCGUUGCUCGGAAUUACUGGGCGUAAAGGGAGCGUAGGCGGGUUAUCAAGUUGGGGGUGAAAGCCCGGGGCUCAACCUCGGAAUUGCCUUCAAAACUGAUAGCAAUAGAGUAUGAUAGAGGUAUGUGGAACUCCGAGUGUAGAGGUGAAAUUCGUAGAUAUUCGGAAGAACACCAGUGGCGAAGGCGACAUACUGGGUCAUGACUGACGCUGAGGCUCGAAAGCGUGGGGAGCAAACAGGAUUAGAUACCCUGGUAGUCCACGCUGUAAACGAUGAUUGCUAGUUGUCGGACGGCAUGCCGUUCGGUGACGCAGCUAACGCAUUAAGCAAUCCGCCUGGGGAGUACGGUCGCAAGAUUAAAACUCAAAUGAAUUGACAGGG
RNAcentral lists this ribosomal RNA (415 nucleotides) under uncultured Alphaproteobacteria bacterium. Its description in RNAcentral is "bacterial SSU rRNA". It matches the Rfam family "Bacterial small subunit ribosomal RNA", at positions 504 to 918 of the family's 1533-position model. The record is from RNAcentral. Lineage: Bacteria; Pseudomonadati; Pseudomonadota; Alphaproteobacteria.